RNAcentral lists this ribosomal RNA (301 nucleotides) under uncultured bacterium. RNAcentral's name for it is "partial 16S ribosomal RNA". It matches the Rfam family "Bacterial small subunit ribosomal RNA", at positions 509 to 809 of the family's 1533-position model. The record is from RNAcentral.
CAGUCGCCGCGGGAAUACGGAGGAUCCAAGCGUUAUCCGGAAUCAUUGGGUUUAAAGGGUCCGUAGGCGGUCUUGUAAGUCAGUAGUGAAAGCCCAUCGCUCAACGGUGGAACGGCCAUUGAUACUGCAGGACUUGAAUUAUUGGGAAGUAACUAGAAUAUGUAGUGUAGCGGUGAAAUGCUUAGAGAUUACAUGGAAUACCAAUUGCGAAGGCAGGUUACUACCAAUUGAUUGACGCUGAUGGACGAAAGCGUGGGUAGCGAACAGGAUUAGAUACCCCCGUAGUCCCUGUCUCUUAUAA